This 539-nucleotide ribosomal RNA is filed under the name uncultured bacterium. RNAcentral's name for it is "bacterial SSU rRNA". It matches the Rfam family "Bacterial small subunit ribosomal RNA", at positions 966 to 1509 of the family's 1533-position model. The record is from RNAcentral.
CCCUUAACCUACCCUUGACAUGGUCUGGAAUCCCGAAGAGAUUUGGGAGUGCUCGCAAGAGAGCCGGAACACAGGUGCUGCAUGGCUGUCGUCAGCUCGUGUCGUGAGAUGUUGGGUUAAGUCCCGCAACGAGCGCAACCCUUGUCAUUAGUUGCUACGAAAGGGCACUCUAAUGAGACUGCCGGUGACAAACCGGAGGAAGGUGGGGAUGACGUCAAGUCCUCAUGGCCCUUAUGGGUAGGGCUCCACACGUCAUACAAUGGUCGGGACAGAGGGUUGCCAAGCCGCGAGGUGGAGCCAAUCCCAGAAACCCGAUCGUAGUCCGGAUUGCAGUCUGCAACUCGACUGCAUGAAGUCGGAAUCGCUAGUAAUCGCGGAUCAGAAUGUCGCGGUGAAUACGUUCCCGGGUCUUGUACACACCGCCCGUCACACCAUGGGAGUGGGUUUUACCAGAAGUAGGUAGCCUAACCGUAAGGAGGGCGCUUACCACGGUAGGAUUCAUGACUGGGGUGAAGUCGUAACAAGGUAAGCGUAGUGCU